UGGGGAAUUUUGGACAAUGGGCGAAAGCCUGAUCCAGCAAUGCCGCGUGUGUGAAGAAGGCCUUCGGGUUGUAAAGCACUUUUGUCCGGAAAGAAAUCCUUGGCUCUAAUACAGUCGGGGGAUGACGGUACCGGAAGAAUAAGCACCGGCUAACUACGUGCCAGCAGCCGCGGUAAUACGUAGGGUGCAAGCGUUAAUCGGAAUUACUGGGCGUAAAGCGUGCGCAGGCGGUUUGCUAAGACCGAUGUGAAAUCCCCGGGCUCAACCUGGGAACUGCAUUGGUGACUGGCAGGCUAGAGUAUGGCAGAGGGGGGUAGAAUUCCACGUGUAGCAGUGAAAUGCGUAGAGAUGUGGAGGAAUACCGAUGGCGAAGGCAGCCCCCUGGGCCAAUACUGACGCUCAUGCACGAAAGCGUGGGGAGCAAACAGGAUUAGAUACCCUGGUAGUCCACGCCCUAAACGAUGUCAACUAGUUGUUGGGGAUUCAUUUCCUUAGUAACGUAGCUAACGCGUGAAGUUGACCGCCUGGGGAGUACGGUCGCAAGAUUAAAACUCAAAGGAAUUGACGGGGUCAUAGCUGUUUCCCU
This 586-nucleotide ribosomal RNA is filed under the name uncultured bacterium. RNAcentral's name for it is "partial 16S ribosomal RNA". It matches the Rfam family "Bacterial small subunit ribosomal RNA", at positions 355 to 1363 of the family's 1533-position model. The record is from RNAcentral.